Molecule: ribosomal RNA, 198 nt
Filed under: uncultured bacterium
Lineage: Bacteria
Description: partial 16S ribosomal RNA
Rfam family: Bacterial small subunit ribosomal RNA
Source: RNAcentral
ACUCCUACGGGAGGCAGCAGUGGGGAAUAUUGGACAAUGGGCGGAAGCCUGAUCCAGCCAUGCCGCGUGUGUGAAGAAGGCCUUUUGGUUGUAAAGCACUUUAAGCGAGGAGGAGGCUCUUAAGGUUAAUACCCUUGAUGAGUGGACGUUACUCGCAGAAUAAGCACCGGCUAACUCUGUGCCAGCAGCCGCGGUAAU